RNAcentral lists this ribosomal RNA (644 nucleotides) under Sordariomycetes sp. RNAcentral describes it as "eukaryotic LSU rRNA". The stretch from base 79 to 644 matches the Rfam family "Eukaryotic large subunit ribosomal RNA", at positions 1 to 579 of the family's 3401-position model. Lineage: Eukaryota; Fungi; Ascomycota; Sordariomycetes. The record is from RNAcentral.
UCCGAGCGUAGUAGUAAAAUAUCUCGCUAGGGAGGUGUCGCGGGUUCCGGCCGUGAAAGCCCAUCUUUUACACAAGGUUGACCUCGGAUCAGGUAGGAAUACCCGCUGAACUUAAGCAUAUCAAUAAGCGGAGGAAAAGAAACCAACAGGGAUUGCCCCAGUAACGGCGAGUGAAGCGGCAACAGCUCAAAUUUGAAAUCUGGCUUCGGCCCGAGUUGUAAUUUGUAGAGGAUGCUUUUGGUGAGGUGCCUUCUGAGUUCCCUGGAACGGGACGCCAGAGAGGGUGAGAGCCCCGUAUAGUUGGACACCGAGCCUCUGUAAAGCUCCUUCGACGAGUCGAGUAGUUUGGGAAUGCUGCUCAAAAUGGGAGGUAUAUCUCUUCUAAAGCUAAAUACUGGCCAGAGACCGAUAGCGCACAAGUAGAGUGAUCGAAAGAUGAAAAGCACUUUGAAAAGAGGGUUAAAUAGUACGUGAAAUUGUUGAAAGGGAAGCGCUUGUGACCAGACUUGUGCCCGGCUGAUCAUCCAGUGUUCUCACUGGUGCACUCUGCCGGGCUCAGGCCAGCGUCGGUUCUCGCAGGGGGACAAAAGCUUCGGGAACGUAGCUCCUCCGGGAGUGUUAUAGCCCGUUGCUCAAUACCCCUG